This 453-nucleotide long non-coding RNA is filed under the name Anser brachyrhynchus (Pink-footed goose). RNAcentral's name for it is "lncRNA (ENSABRG00000021108.1)". The record is from RNAcentral. Lineage: Eukaryota; Metazoa; Chordata; Aves; Anseriformes; Anatidae.
UUCUUUUCUCACAUUUUUGCCCACCCCCAGGGGAAUUAGGGAGAGUCCUGAUGCUGUGCCAGCACUGCUCAGCAGCAGACACAGCACUGGUGUGAUACCAUUGCUGUUUUAGCUACGAGUGCAGAGCACAGCACUGUAUGGGCUGCUGCAGGGAAAGUUAACAUCCCAGCCUGACCCAGUACAUGGUGCCUGAUGUAAUCCUCUGUGAUGUUUGCGAUUCUGGCUCAGCACAUGGGCACCAGAUGAGGCAGAGCAUACUGCAGGUGAUAAAACAAUGGAUCAUUCAUGCAGAGAGAAAAAUAAAGACAAGGAGACUAUUGAUAAAAGAAGUAACUGUGAGCAUCUUUAGUCCUGAUUUCACAGCUUGAGGAAUAUACAGUUGCCUCCAGAUGAGAAGGUGAAGAUAGCCUUCAGUGGAAUAAAAAGAGGUAUUUAAUGAACUCUGCUGAUGAU